UGCCAAUAUGGAUGGCUUGCC
Molecule: non-coding RNA, 21 nt
Filed under: Arabidopsis thaliana (thale cress)
Lineage: Eukaryota; Viridiplantae; Streptophyta; Magnoliopsida; Brassicales; Brassicaceae
Source: RNAcentral